Alligator sinensis (Chinese alligator) is the source of this 1400-nucleotide long non-coding RNA. RefSeq lists it as uncharacterized. The record is from RefSeq and is a predicted model, not a curated record. Lineage: Eukaryota; Metazoa; Chordata; Crocodylia; Alligatoridae. The transcript is spliced from 3 exons.
AUUACUGUAAUUCUCCUACCAAGUUCUGUAACCACUUUAAAGCCUGUACACAAACACUUCUUUCUAAAUACAGUUCAGUUUUAUUUGGGUAAGUUUCUAAAAGGUCUUAAAACAACAGUAGUGACUCAACAGCAUUUCACAUCCUGUAUGUGGCACUAUCAGUGAAAAUGGCAUUUAAAAAAAACCUUCAUGCUUCACUCGUAGAAAUGCUACAUUAUUAAAACAAUGGAUUGGAAUCCUGAAACUGAUGCUUCAGUUUUGCAAAAGAAUGACUAUUCUGCGUUUUUUCUGACUCUGAUUUACUUGCCUUCUGUGUGAUAAUUGCCGGUGUCUCUGAUCUACAGUCAUGUAUAGCCUUGUAAUGCUGUUUGUGUCUGCUUUAGUGUAUUGCAUUAUAGUAUUUUCUGUACUCUCUCCCAUGUCAUCAUAUCAGCUGAAGCAGAAGGUGGCUAUUUUGUACUGGAAUUUCUUGGUGUGUGCACUGCAUUUUGCUUCCAAACAAUAAAAAAACCCAACCUUUCCACUAAUGUAGUACCAGAGCACAAACAGGGUAAAAAUGUUCCAAAAGAGCUGGUGAUGUAUUAAAAAUGCAUGUUUACAGGAGAGGGUGGUCCUCCCAGAACCCUCCUCCCCAGCCUGUUUUAAAGCUGCAUGAUGUACUCACAUUACACAGAAGGAGAGUGACUGGCCUGUUCCUGUGCACAGAUGGCUGACUGGCUGGCUAUCCUAAAUAGAUAUUCUUCCCCUGUUCCACUUUUUGCUAUGCUUAAGGCUGAGAGAAACACCAGUUUUGUUUUUUCUCCAGUGUCAACCAAGCUAUAGGUAAAGCCACUGAAGAAUAAAUAAGGCUUGUCUUCCAGUCUCAUUAUGGCUGAUUUAAAUUAAAACUAGCUGGUAUAUGUCAGUUCACUAAACAGUAUACCAAAUGGUACAGUAUAUAGUACACUUGAACUAAAAUCCUGUUUAAGUAUCUAGGCAGACAAGGUUCCUUGGGUGAAUUUGAUUAAGUAUCUGUUUUAUAUAGCAGUGGUAUAUAGUGAGUGGAUUUCAACUCAUUUCAUGUUCUUGAUUUGUUACAGAGGGAAGCUGCAAACAUGUUCAAGUAAAACCCAAAUUGUUUAUUUUGCAAGCUCUCCAUUUCUUCCUUUCUCUGCAAUAAGCCUCAGAUUGCAUUCUGCUUCUGCAUGGUAACCUAGCUGUGUUUAGCAGUAAGCAUUGCAACGUUUUCUGGAAAGCAAGAUACCAUGGAACAAGAAGUGUGAAGGCUAGAACUCAGCCCUGGAACAGUUCAGAGAAUUUGCAGAUUGAUUCCACCAUCUCUCCUGUUUGAGCUGCUUGCCACUACAUUCCACUUGGCAGCUGUUCUCAGAAGCAGCUAGCACUGCUGUACUGCAUUUUAU